CGCCAAGAGGUUGACUGAAUAGUAUUAUAGGUGAUACACAUUAUGUGGAUGUGAAAUUUAGCUUUUUAACACUAUUACAAUAGUGGCACUGACAGGUUUAAAUAUAGUGUUAGGGCAGAUAAUAUUUGUGGCUGAUAGUUCUAAUUUUCUUUGCCAACACUAUAUCAAAUCAUUAACUAUUUUCAAUUUUCACCAAAUGAUUCCAUAGUCAUAAGCUUAUUGCAUUACCAUAUUACUCCUAAUGAUUUAUUUCUAAUCAUAUUGCGAGUACGUAUUUAGUGUGAUAGCUGAAUUAUAUUAAUUUGGCUACAAACAAAAUGAUGCAAUUUAAAAUAUUGAUUGCAACAGCAUUCUCUUUCCAUAAAUCUGCCUUGUAUUUCCAUUGAUUUUAAGUAUGUGAUUAAAUUGUUUGCUUUGAUUCAGAAAUUGUAUUUGGAUUAUAUGAGAAAACUCAAAAUGUGGAAAAUUACAAUUUUAGGUUGAAAAGUACACAAUGCCUAUCCUGAGAAAGCAAUGGUGUUGGCUCUGAGACACAUGACAGGAGUGACACCAGGGCAGUGUGGAUGUGCUCUAUGAGUCACCUCACAAAGAGGACAGAUUGGGACAUUUCUCCAUGAAAACACAUGCUCUGUGGGGGGAGUAGGCAUGGAUUUGAGUCCCAGGAGACUUUUAUCUUUUCAUUUUUGUUAUACAUUUUAUCUUUAUAUAUGAAAAAUGAGAGUUUGAAGACAACAAAAUCUUUAAUACCUAUGGAAACCCUGGCACAUACCUGUGGGAAAAGAAUCCUUUCAUUUUAUCACUAAACAUAACCCUAGGUUAAAAUCAUCAUCAUACAUAGUUAUAGUAUCUAUAUAUACAUAAAUAUGUACGUAUAUGUGAUGUAUUUAUGCACAUGUUUAUAUGCUUAUAUGCAAACAUGGCAUAAAUAUGUACAUGCAUAUAUACAUACAAGGGUAGAUUCCUCUCUACAUAUAAGGUGAAUUCUAUUGUAAUGAAUAUUAAGUUAUACAUAUAUGCAGUAGAUAAAGUAUACAAAUAAGGCAUAACCCAGUGUAUCUGCAGAGUCCUCAUAUUUGCUUCCCAUAUGAGAACCUCUGAGUCCUCUUCUGUCUUCUGUGUUAUGCUACCAUUUUCCUUUUCUAUUAAUGGGUGAAUGUCUCUCAUGCAAAGGAAGGCACCUUUGCUGGUGACAGGCGGGGGCGGCGGCUGUGGUGGGGGGCUGCAGAAAGUAGGCGUUAUUUUUGAGACUCCUGUGCAGUCGGUUCUCCAUGGGAUCCUCAGUUGCACAGGCCAUCAGCUCUGACUGUAACUAUGGCUCCCACUUCUGGCUCGUCCAUCUCACCUUCAAUUCUCCUUGAGCCUCAGGGCUGCUCCUCCGUGAUUGCCUCCUAUUACUGGUCUCUUGUAGUUUCCAUUUCGCUUCUUGAUGAACCUGCACAAGUAGACCCGUAGGCUGAAAUGUUAGGGGAUGCUGUGUGUUUGCCCCACACUGGGCGGGGCAGUCAGAAGGCUCUUGAUAAACAUUUGUAUUGGAUGAAAAAAAAAAAAAAAAAAAGAAUGAAACCUUAAUUGAGUGACUCACCUGAACAAAACCAGGGAAAGCCUCAGACAGACUUGAAGCUCUGUGGUUCUGCCUCUUUAGGGUUUGCUUCCUAAAUCCAGCACCUGCUGUCUCCACCUCUGCACCCUGGGUGGUGGUGGGACGGAGCCGCUGAUACUCUUUACUUUUUGGCUUCAUUUUUUUAAAUUGAGAUGUAGGUGGUUUACAAGGUCGAGUUAGUUUCAGGUGCAUGAAAGAUUCAGUCAUAUAUGAAUACAUAUACACACAUACAUACAUACACACGAAUAUGUAUACAUACAUACACACAUAUAUAUCCAUACACACUCAUAUAUACACAUACACUCAUUAUAUGUAUUUUAUAUAUACAUUGUAAAUAUAAUAUAUAUAGUAUAAAUGUGUGUAUAUAUAUUACAUAUAUAUAUAGUAUUUUCCAGAUUCUUCUCCCUUAUAGGCUAUUCCAAAAUUUUUAGUAUAGUUCCCUGUGCUCUACAGUAGAUCUUUGUUAGUUAUCUAUUUUAUAUAUAGUAGAGUGUAUAUGUUCAUUCUAACUUCUAAUUUAUCCCUCCUCCACUUCUCCCUUUGGUACCCACAAAUUUGUUUUCUAUGCCUGUGGCUCUAUUUAUGUUUGGUAAAUAAAUUUGUUUAUGUCAUUCAUUGUUUUCCAGAUUCCACGUAUAAGUGAUAUCAUGCAGUAUUUGCCUUUCUUUGUCAGCUUCUUGUUUUUGUCAUUUUUCUCUUUUAGAGCCCUUCUCACUUUUCUACAUGCAAAUCAUCCCCUUUCAAGGCCUAAUUCAGACGCCACUUCCUAGAUGCUCUGGAGAUUGUCCUUCCUGACCACCAUAAACCAAUCUCAUUUAUCUUGGAAACAGUCACAGCCCUUCUUGAGAAGCAACGUUUUUGCAUUGAUUACAUUGAAACUGUUUUAAGUAAAAAUCGCCAGUAUCCAGAAUAUGUGCCCCCAUCCUAAAAACUCCUUAAAGGAAAGAUUUAAACCUGUACCAAGCAUAUCCCUAGUGAGAUAUCUUCCUUGUACGAAGCAUAACCCUAGUGAGAAGGAAAACUUGAAGCAUUUCUCUCCAUUGGUAAAAAGGAUGCCCAGAUGUUAACCAGAGGAAGGGUAGUGACAAUUAUUUAAGUAACAUUAACCACAGUUCCUUCUUUCUUCACACGUGAUGAAGGAGCACAGUUGCCCAUAUCAUUCCAUAAGAUCACUGGAUCCCUUUUCUGUUCCCAGAGCCCUCAAAAAAUUGUGUGGAUGCCAACCCUAUGUUUGUUUCUUAAUCUGUGGAGGUCAACUAGCGCUGCAGGGAUGUGUGUCUACAGCUCAGUGCUCAGGUGGACUGUGAUACUAGGGAGCUCUGAGGGUCAGCGCACAACUGCAAAUGGACUGAUUUGCAGCCAAUUACAAUGGACUGUUAAUUUAGCUGUUCAGAUGAUGAGACAACAAAGCUUUGCUCUAAGCCAUUUGAUUCUAUUGAUCUGUGCACAUACACCCUGAGACCCUCCCCCACCCCUGGCGGUAGUGACGUGGAUGCCAUUGACUGAGUCAGGCCUCUCAUGUCAAAAUUUGGGUUGCCCAGCAGAACACUGCAUAGUUUCCUGCCUGGCCAAGGUGCACUUUAGAAGGACUUUUAAAAUAGGUCCAUGUAAUGAAUACAUUUUAAAGCUGAAAAAUGAUUAUCUAUGAAAUGUGGAGAUUCAUCACUCUAAGCAAUAACCAAAUUAUUAAUUUAUUUAAUAAAAGACAUGGUUAUUUGGACUAGAUUAUAUUUUUAUUAGUUAAAUAUGCAUUAAAUUUAUCCACUGAACAAUGAGUUCCCAAUACUAUAAUUUUGGGGGAUCUUUUUUCAAUAAGCUAAAGUUAAUAAAGAGGGAUUCUAAUAUUCUAGAACACUUACUUCCUUCUUAAUGAUUUCUGUGCUGGGGCAAAAGACAAAAGGUAUAGGUGGCCGGAAAUGACAGCAAGAGCUAGGGUUAUCUUCUGUGUUCUCUGGGGGCUCACAUUUCUGAGCAGUCUCUGCACCUAAUAGGUGCUUCAUGAAGAUUUGUUAAUAAACUAAUGCUUCAUAAUUUGCAUAUGUAAACCUUCUAAGAAACCAAAUGUUUUGAAUAUAGACUAAAAUUAAUUUUACUGCAAUUUCCAGGAAAUUCUUUACAUACUCCAGGAAAUAGGCUGAGGCUAUGAUGCACGUGAUGAAAACUUUGUCUUGAAAUUAUUUUCCAAAUGUAAUUGGCUCUGAAACUGAUAUCAUCUCCUCAUCAAAGUGUAACAAUAAUGUUUGGGCAUAUUAAUGUGUUAUAUGAACAUAUAAUGUGGCAUAUUAAUGUAUUUAACACAACACCUUACCUAUUUCAUGUAUUAUAUUCUGACAUAAACAAAUGGCUUUAUGGAAUUAUACAAUCGUUAUUGGUUAUUUAAUCAGUAAUACAUUAUGAGAAACGUUUAAGAACUUUAGAGAGAGUGCGCUGACUUUCCUGUGACUAUACUUUUUGCUUCACCCUGUAUGUGGAACACGUAAAUAGACGUGGCUCAAAGCCUGAGACAGCUGCUGUAUAUUCUGGAAUUAUUUUGUUGUAUCUGAUGAAAUUCUGUGACAAUCCCAGACGUUGUCAAGCAACGGUAUGAUUACUCCAAAUGCAUUUUCUCAAAGACUGCAUGUCAGGGGCUUAUCUGGGCUGUUUUUAUCUUGAAUUACGGAGGAUUCUUGAAUCUCUUAACACUGUGUCCUUCUCUCUUGAAACGUGUGAAUUGAAGUUAUUAUAGCUCCGGAGACCCUUUUAGAGACACGGCAAAGAUGCUCACCAGAGAUCUGAACUUUGAUGAACACGUUUCUCUAUGGUUUCUGGGAUGAGCUAACACCUUCAUUGAUGUUUGGUCAUUAUUGUUAGAAUAAGAAGCAAAUCAGAAAGCUUCUGGUACUUAUUUUUAGAAACUCCCUUGCUAUCUGUAGGAAGAAUACAGAGAACAAGGCUUAUGUAGGCCAUAAAUUAAACUUUUGUUUUAAGAUAGGGUUGGUGACAGUUUUAUGUUCUUCAAAAUUUCUUUUCAGAAUCCUAGUAAUUUUUUUCCUCUUCAUAGCACAGAAUCUGGGUAGGGGGGAUUUGUGUAUUUACUUUUUAACAGAAAUAUGUCUCAGCAUUUCCUGUUUGAUUUUCUUCUAAGUACAUUUUUUCCUUGACUACAUAUAUUCCUAAGACCAAAACAUGCAGUAUUUCUUCAGUCUAUGAAUUAAUCAAUGAAGCUUAUUUCAGUGAUUUGGAGAGAUUACCUUAUUUUUGGAAAUAAUUUUUCUCAACUAUGUAAAUCACUCAUAAAUAUAACAUCUGCUGGAGGGAUCUUAAAAGCAGGGUGAAAUCUUGUUCCUUUUGGAAUCCAAUUUUGACGUAAGCUUUGACAGCUAAAUAAGACAAUGCUCAAUUUUUAGGGGGAGAGUUGUCAUUCUUAGAAUUUUGUGAUGCAGUGGAUGGUUUAAUAUGUUCUAUUCUGACAUAAGCAAUAUCACCUGCUUCUCAAGGGUGUAAUAAAGCAGACUGAUGAUGUAUCAAUGGUAAUAACUGCCUCAUAAAAAGUGGGAUAUUAGAAAUGUGGUUUCCUCUCUAAGAAUAUCCAUAAAAAUAUACAAGAACACACACUCUAGAUCUUUCCAAGCUACUUUGGGAAAAAAGACAAUUUCUUUAGUAAUUUUCCUGUUGGGUAUUAAUUUUACAGGUAAUUAUUUUAAUGGACUGAAGAGUGCAGAGUAAAUUAGGCGUCUUUUUGUGGUGAUCUAGGGAAUUCUUCCACAUAGGCAUGAGUUAGGUGAGGGGCCUCCACGCAUUGGGUUUUAAUGGAAAGCAACAGGAUCCCAAAUAGAAUGAAGACCAUCCCCUGACAUUUAGAGCGCUUCCCAUGUGAAAUACAGACUUCGUGGUCCUGUCUCACUUCAAAAUGGAGGAAAGGCAGAAACGGGGCAGCUGUGUUUAUCUCCUUUGCAUACACAUGGAGCGCCCAUCUCCAUCGAAGGAAUUAAAUGGUUUAUUUCUCAUCGUGGACAAUUCCUCUCCAGCUGCGUGGGAAUUUUGGUCAUGUCCAUGUCUUGUAUAAAUGACAGGAUGUAUAAAACGAUGCCAUAUCUUAGUCUUUUGCUGUAAUAUUAGGAAGAAGAUGUUUCAUUUUCUUUUCAUUUUAUUUGCGUUUCUACACACUCAGCUUAUAAAUUGCAUGGCUUAUUCUAAAGCUUCUAACAGAAAAUCUAUCAAGAAAAACAGUUUGUUAGGGAAUAGUUCUUUUAUUCACAGAUUAGUGCAGGUGAUCUCACUGUGUAUUAGAAAAAAAAAUCAUACCUUUUCUUAUUGCUCUGCAAAACCUCUUAUUUUAAGUCCCAUUCUUAAUAUAAAAUCACACGCUGGAAAGGGAUUAGAAGAUUUAAAGGAAACAAAGAAAAGAAUAAGUACAUAUCUUUUCUGAUUUUAAUGAUUUAAUGAGCCAAAAGAAAUUCUUUCCACAUUAAAAAACACUAUAAAAGAGGAGUUCUCAUUGUGGUGCAGUGGCUAACAAAUCCGACUAGGAACUGUGAGGUUGCGGGUUUGAUCCCUGGCCUUGCUCAGUGGGUUAAGGAUCCAGUGUUGCCGUGAGCUGUGGUGUAGGUCACAGAUUCAGCUCGGGUCCCAUGUUGCUGUGGCUCUGGCGUAGGCCAGUGGCUACAGCUCUGAUUAGAUCCCUAGCCUGGUAACCUCCAUAUGGCGCAGGAGUGGCCCUAGAAAAGGCAAAAAGAC
RNAcentral lists this long non-coding RNA (6316 nucleotides) under Sus scrofa (pig). Its description in RNAcentral is "lncRNA (ENSSSCG00000053926.1)". The record is from RNAcentral. Lineage: Eukaryota; Metazoa; Chordata; Mammalia; Artiodactyla; Suidae.